Molecule: long non-coding RNA, 24669 nt
Filed under: Malus domestica (apple)
Lineage: Eukaryota; Viridiplantae; Streptophyta; Magnoliopsida; Rosales; Rosaceae
Description: long non-coding RNA (MDOM_LNC000686)
Source: RNAcentral
CUGCAAUUGCAAAAUGCACUCUUGUAAAGAAGUUGCCGCCCAAGACAUUAUACAGUUUAAAAAGUAUACACUUCAUACCACAAAUCCUACAUCCCGCAGUGGAAAUAUAUAGUUGUAUACAGGAAACAAAAGUAAACAUGUCGAUGCAUUAUUUUUUAUGCAUGCUUACCCACGAGCAAAGGAAAAACUGGAAGCUCAAGAGGCUUCUCUUGUGCUCCAACCAUCACUAGCUUUCCGUGAGACUUCAACAAACCAAUCAAAGGCAAUAGAGGGUGGACUGCAGAAACCGUGUCAAUGAUACCAUCCAAUGUGCCCAUGGCAGCCUAAAAAAUCCACACAAAAAAUAAAAAUAAAAACAAGAAAACGGUCAGUCACCCCUACACACUUCAAAUCAACUUGAAUCACUACACAAACUUGUUUAAAUUAAUAAUCAUCUUACCUGCAUUUGAUCUUCAUCGUGGCUGACCAAAAACGAAUCAGCACAGAGAUGUUCAAUUGCUUCAUCCUUCUUAUUAGGGGAGGUACUGAUGACAGUCACCUUAACCCCCAUAGCCUUAGCAAACUUGACAGCCACAUGGCCUAGACCGCCUAAACCCACCACACCCACAUGCAUACCGGGUUUGUCAAGUCCGAAAUAUCUCAAAGGGCUGUAAGUUGUAAUCCCCGCACAUAGGAGAGGAGCCGCUCCAUCAAGGGGAAGGGUUUCUGGGAUACGGACUACAAAGUGCUCAUUGGCGACCAUGAUGUCAGAGUAACCUCCAUAUGUGGGGGUUCCGUCGUAGUACUUGGCACCAAAAGUGAUUAUCCAUUCGGGGCAGUAAUUUUCAAGAUUGUUGGUACAAUUUUCACAAGAUGUACAUGAUCCCACCAUGCUUCCAACACCUACCUUGUCUCCGACAUUGAAUUUUUGUACUUUGCUCCCUACAUCUGUCACUACACCAACAAUUUCAUGUCUGCAUUGUCCAGUUCACAUUCCAUUAGUUUUGGAUACCAAAUCCAAAUUCAGAUACUUACAUGUGUUCAUUCUACAAUGUACUAUUUGACAUCAGUACUUGUAGCAUUUAAAAUGAAAGUUUAGUAUGUACCCGGGAACCAAUGGAUAGGUAGAAAUUCCCCAGUCGUUCUUGGCCAUGUGAAGGUCCGAAUGACAUAUCCCACAGUAUAACACUUUGAACAUCACAUCUUUCUCGCCCGUUUCUCUGCAACCAAAAGAAUGCAAUUUUUAGAGAACAUAUAAAAGCAUUGAUUAAACAAGAAUUUGAUGAGGAAGUUUGGAUUAAUAUUGACCUUCUUGAGAAUUUGAAGGGAGAGAAAAUGCCAGAUGAAUCCCUGGCAGCCCAACCAAAGGCUUUCUUGGGAUGUUCUCUUUCUGCAGACAUCACCAUUUUUCCCUUGAUUAAUUUGUAUCUGAGCUUUGGCCAGUAGAACGACUGAGAGGGAGAGAGUGGGAAUUGCUAGAUUUGGGGAGGGGCUGGGUGCUAUUUAUAUGUAUAUGGAGUUUGGCUGGGAUGACGUACCGGAUGAGCGAAAUCGUAAGUCAAAAGCGGGUCUUCUAAAUAUUCCAUUUCUUUCUGAACUUUCCACAUGGUUUGCUGACGUCAUCCCAUUGCAUUGCGUAAUGGCUUACCCUGAUGCCGAUCUCCAUUUAAAAUUUGCCUGACCCCUAAUCAAAUGUUUGAAAUCUUCAAUUUGAGUUCGAAAUCCGUUGAAUAGUUUGGGAUCAUCGAAUAUAUUUUGACGUGUUAUUCGACUUGAGAAGUAAAAAUUAUCUGUCAUCUUAUGUUGUACCGAAAAUAUAUAAAAGAAGAAAUCAAUCCAUUACUAAAACACGGUAAGACUUUCUAUAUUAAAAGAAUAAUAAUAAUAAUAAUAAUAAUAAUAAUAAUAAAGUCAUCAUGCAAAGAGCCUAUCCUUCCACAAUAGUAUGUUGAGGAAUGUGGAACUCCUGGUGGCAGCAUUAUGCAUAAUCCAUUUCCCCUAAAUUUGCUGCUUUUAUGGGUACUUUUUAAUUUGGAUUUACCAAAUUAAUUUCUAGAUAAAUUAUUCUAUUCCCUCUUAAGUAGAUAUCAAAAAGUGAAUCAAUGAUUAUUACCACAAGUGGCUAGUUAGCAUUUUUCAUUCUUGAUGGACAGUGGAGGACCGUUGAAAUUCUUCGAUAUAAAGCUGGACUCUUUGGUUAGUGAUAACUGUGGUCGAAAAGAGAAAAAGAAAACGAAGAGGGAGGUAGGAGUUCUCAAAUUGAUGUGCUUAAAGAUCCAAUUCAAGUUAAAAGGAAAUGAGCGUCGAAAACAAGUACAAAAGAGAAGCUAAGUCAAUAUUAAAGACACACCAGUGGUAAGUAGAAUUGUCCACGUCCAAACACAGGUAUGCAACGAAAUUAAUUACCGAUUAUGCUUUGCCUCACAAUAUAUUAGUGGUAGUAAUAUUUAAAACAACUUUGGAUUGUUUUGUAAUUGUCUAGGUCUUGCACGACUGAACUCGAAGAACACACAGAGGGCACUUCAAAAUAAAUAAAAUUAAUAUUAAUGUAUAAGUAUGAAAAAUGUGAAAGCAUAUAUAAAUGCUCGUAAUUGCAUCCUCUACGCUUAAAUGAUGGUUACAUGAUCGUUUAUGACACACCCCGGCCCGGAAUGUCGACUUGGACUUCGAAUCGAGCUGUGUUUGCCGACACCUGGAAGGUGAUGAAGCCAUAAAGUGUAGUGAUGUGGAAAAUGUGUAUAAACUUAAACCUAAAAGUGCCUAAAUACAAGAGUGCGAUGUGAGCGAGAAUAAACCCAUUUCACACGUAAUAUCAGAGCAUAAGUAAAGUACAGUAAAGUAGGAUGAGAAUCGUACCAUUGAAGGUAACCAUCUAUACCAAGAUUUGCUAAGAAUCCUCGUCGACACGAAAGUUCAGCCACUAAAACCUGGAGGGGCGAAAAACAAGAGUAUGUGGGCUUGAAAAUAAAGCUUUGUGAAAACCUUUUUGAAAACAUAAUAAUCCCUCGCCAUAAAACAAGUAUAGUUUCCAAAAUAUACAUACUACAUAUAGUAUGAAAAUACUUACCAAAGUCAGCAGUAUCUCAAGAAUGCAAUACAUCAUAAACUUUCGUAAAUAAAUGCAGGACGUCCGUAAGUGCAUAAUCUCGCAUAAGAAAACAUAUCAUAACGAAUGCAAAUCGACACAUGCUGACACACAAAUUCAUGUAGAGAUAUUCUGACAUGAACAAGACUGGGUGUAACAAUGACAUAUGCUCUUGUACUACAAUCAUGUGAAGACAGGCACUAUGCGCAACACAUAUGAGUCCUACUUACGUAUAGCAAUCUAGGACAGGACUGGCACCUACAAUGCAUCCAAAGUGAGUGUACAGUGCGAUGUGCAUAUACACGUAAAAGUUUGGCCCUGGCCCGGGCGAGUACUGACACUAGUGCAGCAAACGAUGAGCAAAUAACAUACAUGUAGUCAUGCCACAGUGAUUCGAUAACUCCAGUCAAGAUUAUAUUAUUCAUGAACAUAAAUAUAAUUAAGGCAUCCCCUAAUUGUAAGCUUACCUAAGCAUCCCAUAGGAUUAUUUCAUACUUUCCCAACAAUGAGGCAUUUCUUAUGAACGUUAAUUUAAUUAUGGCAAUCACAUAGAUAAUUCAUUACUAGAUGUAUAGAUGGAAACUAAAGAAAUAUAUGUAUAUAUAAAAAAAAAGACCCACUCACAAUUCAUGUUGUCGAGUUGAACUCGCCUCGUAGUAUCAAGAGUCCUUGCAAUUCGUUUCGCCUAGAAACGAAACCAUUUAUGUAAAUACUUAACGUACUAAUGUAUAAACGCAUUUUUGUACAAAGUACGGCAAAUAAAUGAACUAUUUUAAAAUGAUUGAAUUUCGGAAAAUGGACAGCGGAUUCGGGUUCAUUACGUCGAGAAACCUAAGGAAGGACCUCGGGUUCCUCCAUGCACCGCCGCACAGGCCGCCAAAAGCGGCUGCACAUGCAGCUAUGCGCCACACGCGCCGACCACCCUCAUGCGUCUACGCGCCUGCGAGUACGAACGUACUCGCCUUUUUCGCGAAGCACAGGUUCGGCCUUGUUUUUGGGCCAACUUUCAGAGCUAAUAUCUAGCUCAAUUCACCACUAAAAUUAAUGAUUCAAAAGCCAUUUUGAAGUUAGGAAUGUAGGGAACAAAACCAUACAAAGUGAGGCCGAGUUAUUGUCGGCGUUGGCUAGAAAGAUGAUCUAAAAGUGGCCAAAUGGUGACGGGGUCUUGCUAAAAAUCUGGGGAAUUUCUUCCCCCGUGUCAGUUUCGUUAUAAACCUUCACCAAAACGCCUGAGAUGGGUCGUAACUAGGUUCUGAUCGAUCUAAAAUGAAGGUUAGAGAGAGUCUCGUGGCUUACCUAUGUCAAAAAAGGCGAAACUCGCUGGAAAAUCCCUUGAAUAAUGACGAUGCAAUAGUGCAGUUUUGUGUCCCAUGGCUGGGUUGAGUUAGACAUCCAUGAAUAUGGCUUUCUAGGUUUGAGGAUCUGUAAAUCUUUUCAGGAUGGUGAGUUUGAUGGCAAGUGGUUUAUGACCGCUAGUUCUCUGUGUUUACAGAGAAGGAAAUGAAGUGAGAUGAGAGUGUUUCAAAGAAAGAAAAUAAGGAAUAAAAAAGGGAAAAUAUAAGUAGAGGUGGUGGUCUGGAAGGGUGGUGAGAUUGCUCCUGAUCUUUUGGUCUCUCUGUUUUCAGAGAUGAAUAUGGUGAUGAGGGGGAAAGCUGACAAAGAUGAGGAAGUUAGAGAGAGUUAGGUGAGAGAGAUGAGAGAUAAAAGGGAGAGGAGUGAAGAGAGAGAGGUUCCGGAUUGUGGAGAAAUUUUUAGUUGUGACAGGAACAUGGAUGGUACACCACUUGUUUUUAUGCAAGUGGUGGAAAAUUUUAAUUUUUAAGUUAUUAACCUUUUAACACACAUAACUCAUCAUUUAUAUAAGAACACGUGGUGUACCAUCUUGUGUGACGGUCACACUGAAAAAUCUCUCGGAAUUGUGGGGAAAAGAACAUACGGGAGAGGUUGGGAGUCAAUAUAGGCCCCACAAGCUUUAAAAAUCUAAUAAUAAAAUAAAUAUAUAAUAAUAUAAAUUUGAAUAAAUAAAUAAAAUAUACAAUAGUAAUAUUUACAAAAAGUAUUUUUCGGAUUCGUAGUCAGUAAAACCUUCAUCAUAACUCCAAUUUCGAUUAUGCUCAAGCCUAUGUGUUCAUGCCGUCAAGUACUUCAAGAAUAUGUAAAUUAAUAGCCCAUAAGCGUCAUGAAAAGAUGGUCAAUGAAAGUCAAUGCCCUCACCUCUAAGGGCAUUUUCGUCAAUUCACACUUUAAAAUUUAUAAAAUUAGGGACGGGUUGUCACAAUCUACCCAUCUUAAAAGAAAUUGUCGCCGAAAUUUGAAAUCAUUUGCUAUACAUAAUAUAUUCCAAAAGGUAGGAAGAAAGUAUAUAUAAGGAAGGAAUCAAGCUAGAGCGAUUGCAUAAAAUAGAAUGUCAUACUGUCGCGGUCAGAUUGCAAUGAUUCCUCUUUCAUGCCUCCAAACUCAAACUUUUAUUCUCCUUUAGUACAAUACUAUAACAUACUGCUUUUAUAAAAACAUAAAAUCGAAAAUAUUUAUAUAUGUAUAAUAAUAUCCCGUCAAAAUACAUAUAUAAUAAUGUAAAUUUAAAGUAAUUGUACUGAAAUUAAAAAUGAAAAUAGAAUAUUUUUCACCUACGCACUCAUUGCGUCACAUACUCCGAAGGUAAGUGUGUAGUAUCCUUAGGUCAAGCCAAAACAAUAAAAAAAUAACUAAAAGUGCAAACGUAAAAGGACUUACAUGUCCACUUGCUUAACGAACUCAACGAAUAAGUUAUUGGUAUUACGGUCUGCGGCCCACAAUACCGACGACUCACUGUUGUCUCGAUAAGCAAGUACCAAAUUCCUGAGGGUCCAAUAUUACCAUUAUGCCCCCUAUUGGGAAAUACACAUACAAUGUCUUAUCAAAGUCUCGAUCGUGCUCACGUACUACCCUAUCGGGCAACAUCAUCAAUAUUAUAAAAUUUUCUAUAUCGUAAUCUCGAUCAUUCAACUACUUGUUCGCAAUACUCACCUGUCAAACAUGUAUUGUGCAUAAAGUCUCCAUACAACGUUUCAAACAAUGCCAUACCCAAAAUUGAAAAUUCUAACCGUAGUUACACAUAACUCUAACAGAGAUAGGUGUCAGUGUUAAACAAACUAAGAUUGUAGAACGAAUAAACGCAAUAUGUACACUAAGGUCUGAGUAGUUCAUUAAGACUAACCAUUAGUCUAAGGAUGAAAUGUGGUACUGGAUAACAACUUUGUACUCAUAGCCUUCAAGAAGACUUCCUUAGGCUUGGAAGUGAAACACAUAUCACGAUGAGGUACAACAGUGACAUGCAUACCAUGAAAUCGAACAAUGUAGUUAACAAUGCCUUAACGAGUGGUUUCAUAUUGAAUUUCCCUUGGAUUUAGCAAAAACAAAGUAACUGGAGUGAAUGCAUGACAUCUCGCUACAACGGUAGCUUUCGGAUAAUCAAUCACCAAUGGUCAAGAUUCGUUCAGCAGAACAUUCGUUGGGUGAUUGAGGAAUUAAUGAUAACACUAAAAUUUAAGCUUCGAACGAUUCUCCUAGACAGUAUGUCUGCUUUAGAAACAAUACGAAGUUCAGUAGGGUAGGCAUGUACCCAAGGUUGACUGGAAUGCCUUCUAACACAAGGGGUGAAUAUAGAAUCACAAUCAGAAUAGGUGCGGAUCGAAACAUUAGAAAAUCUAAUAAAUUCAAGAAAGAAGAAUUUUACCGAGUGGUCUGAAAUGUGGUCACUCUGGACCAACGAAAAGUGAGUAGACUUGUCAAGUCGGUCGAUAAACACCAAAACAUCAUCAUAAUCUCCACAUGUACAAGAUGCCUCAUACAGAAAGCUUAUGGUGAUAUUCCCUCAUCUCCAUUUGGAUAUAGGAAGUGGUCAUAACCACUCGAACGAUUCCUUGAUGAUUAAGAAAUAACGUCAAAUCGAUGCUCGUGAACUCUAAUUGGAAUAGGAUAAGAAAGGCUAAAGAUGUUCAAGGGUAGAUAUGUCUUUUGUUGAUGUAACAGUAAUUACGUUUGCACGAUCGGGGUAAUACACGAUAGUGCGAUCGUAGACAUUAGUUUAGUUUUUCCAUCGUCGCUGUCAGAAAUUUAGCUAUUUCCAAAAGAAAGUAUAUUUGAGAAGUUUAUGAGGUUGGUGAAGAUUUUGGACAUGUUUCUCCAUAGAGAAGUGUCAUACGGUUUCCUAAGGAAGAGGAUAACUAUUGAUUUUAGGUCAUGUAUAUGAUGGUUCAUUUCGAACGGUUCUAACCGUUGGAUAAUAUAAGUGAUACUCCGUCAUGUUGCCUAUGCACAGUCGAAACAUCCAGGGAAAAACGUCAUCGUGGAUUUCCAAAAUGAUCAAUGUCAUCGAAAGGUAUAAAACAAAGGUGAGGUGAGACAACAGUUCAGUUGUCAGAACCUUUAUUCAUAAUCAACAUCACAACUAAACUAACUUUCCUCGAUUUAUAUGCGAAGAAAAACACUAUAACAAAUUGUCGAUAGAAUCGACAAGAAUAAGAAUGUCUCUCAUUUCACAACACUUUGUGAAAUAUUCCAACUUCCUUCUGCUACAAUCUUUUGGGAAAAAGAAAAGAUUAUUGUUUACACAGAUUACGUCUCCCAAGAAAAGUAUCAAUCUAAACAAAGGUAACAUUUGAGGAAUUUGGUAUAAAGUUGUCUACCGGUAUAUAGAGAAUAUAUUUCGUUGCUGGAGUAGGUAAGAAGGUUGUGGACAAGGCUACUACAAAUUUAUUAAGUUAUGUAAGAAAACUCAGGUUCCAAAAGUUGGUUGAAGAGACCGUCAACUCAAAGUAGGGCUAACGGUUUUUUGUCAUCACCUGAUUGAGUCACUAAAAUCUAGAUACGAUCCUAAGGGUCGGCCUUUCGCCUUCAUGGAUGAGUUUGAGGUUCCCAAGAGAAGCUAUUUAGUUGGGUGAAUUCCUAAUCGGUAAGCCUUUGUAACUAAGUCAUCUCAAAGAUGCAGGAGUCGCUCGGUAAGAUGCAAGGAGAAUAGGUGUUGUAUUAGAAAAUAGGUCGAUGGUGUACUUCACUUCACCAUUUAGUGAGACCCCAAGUAGAAUUAUGAGAAAUGACGCUAGAGAUGUACGUCCUUGAUACGUACCAUACUACUUCCUUUCAAUGUGCCACGUGAUAAUAGGUCUUCACAGCUUUCUCUAUACUCAAUUCGCUCUUACAGUGGAAAUUCAACUUGUGCUCACUUAUAAUGUUUGUCUAUGGAGGUGAUUAGAAAGAUGAUUGGUCGAGAAGGUUCUAGUUACUUAAAUGGGUAAAAAAUGGUUAACACCAGUGCGAGUUUACAAUCCUUCUACAAGGCUUACUCCUAUGUUUCCAAGAUUUAUUUUCUUUGGCUCAGGUAGUCACUGUUAAUCAGUUUAUCAGUCGCAUCACUAAUUAAUGCAUAUAUGAUACUUUUGAUAUUUUUGAUAUUAUUCGUUACCCUGAAAUUGCAAACCGGGGUUCUGACAUAAAGGUAUCACUCCCAGAUACUAAUACAUGUGUUCGGUAUCAGAAAUCAUACCGCCUGAACACUGGUUGACAAUUCCUGGAUAUCGGACAGUAUCAUCAAUUAGUAGCGCCACAAUAGGCUGACUACAGAUUAAAGCCUGUUAAUGUGAUUAGUUUCGGAUGAUUGGUAAGGAAAUGAUCCUAUGAGUUGGUUUUUUUUUAUUCUAGGGAAAAUACUUGCUAAACGGGGAUUUCUACUAACUGUAGGUAUAACAACUCGUACUAUCAUGCCUAUACUCAUCGAAAUGACGAGUACAACAUCAAAUGAAUUAUGGGAACUAGUAUUGGUUGAGACGCCCUAAGGCCGGAAAAUAAAUUGCUAAUCACUUACUUUAGAAUGUGUCUAAAAGAUUCGAUCUUCCUUCAAAAGAUCUAGAAUUAUAACUAGUGCGUUUGAGAAGAUUAAUGUUAUUGAGAGCCAAAAGUGGUUGUUCCCCUAAAUGUUCUUCUGUCGAGUGCUACCACUUUAGCACCAAGUUGUCGCUCAAAACAUUUGUGGAAUCUCGACGAAAGCAAAUUUCGUAGAAAUUCUAAUAUGUGGUAUUCUAAUGGAUACUGCCAAGGAAUCAAAACCGUUUUUUGAUUUCAAAUCUCAAAAGGUUUGGUAAUGAUGGAGUGAGAAUAAUGGUAGGAUUGAGUGGUAAGUCUCUAGUGAUACAAAACUAUUGAUACAUUAGCGCUGCUUUAGGGUCAUCAACUUGUCUCUAUUCAGGAUUUUUCCUUGGCAGAGAGGUUCUUUGUUUAAAUCUAGAGGCGUUCACCAAAACGAUAUUUUAGAAUGUCGAUAAGUCGUUUAAGUCACUCAAAACUUAGAAAAACUUAACACAUUUUUCGUGCUCGACGAGGUGGCAAGAUUCGUAAAUUAGGCUCAAGAGCCGACAAUGCUUACAUCAUGUGUGUGAUGAACGCAAUACUUCCUAAACUUAUGGUUUGAUACCAAACUGACACACCCUGACCCGAAAUGUCCACUAGGACUCCGAAUCAAGCUGUGUUGGCCGACCUGGAAGGUGACGAAGCCAUAAAGUGUAGUGAUGUGAAAAAUGUGUAUAAACUUAAACCUAAAAGUGCCUAAAUAUAAGAGUGCAUUGUGAGCGGGAAUAAACCCAUUUCACACGUGAUGUCAGAACAUAAGUAAAGUACAGUAAUGUAGGAUGAUAAUCGUACCAUCGAAGGUAACCAUUUAUACCAAGAUUUGCCAAGAAUCCUCGUCAACACGAAAGCUCAGCCACUAAAACCUGGAGGGGCAAAAAACAAGGGUGAGUAGGCCUGAAAAUAAAGCUUUGUAAAAAUCUUUUUGAAAACAUAAUAACCCUUUGCCAUAAAAUAAGUAUAGUUUCCAAAAUAUACAUACUACAUAUAGUAUGAAAAUACUUACCAUAGUUAGCAGUAUCUCAAGAAUGCAAUACGUCAUAAACUUUCGUAAAUAAACACAUGACGUCUGUUAGCGCAUAAUAUCGCAUAAGCAAACAAAUUAUAACGAAUGCUAAUUGACACAUUCUGACACACGAGUUCAUGCAGAGAUAUUUUAGCAUUAACAGGACUGGGUGUAACAAUGACAUACGUUCUAGUACUACAAUCAUGUGAAGAUUGGUGCUAAGCGCAGCACAUACGAGUCCUAAUUGCCUAUAGCAAUCUAGGACGGGAUUGGCACCUACAAUCAAUCCAAAGUGAGCAUACGGUGUGAUGUGCACAUACACGUGAAAGCUUGACCCUGGCUUAGGCGAGUACUAACACCGGUGCAACAAACGAUGAGCAAAUAACAUAAAUUUAGUCAUGCCACAGUGAUUCGAUAACUCUAGUCAACAUUACAUUAUUCAUGAAAAUAAAUAUAAUUAAGGCAUCCCAUAACUGUAAGCUUACUUGAGCAUCCCAAAGGAUUAUUUCAUACUUUCUCAACAAUAAGGCAUUUCUUACGAACAUUAAUUUAAUUAUGGCAAUCACAUAGAGAAUUAAUUACUAGAUGGAAUAUGGAAACUAAAUAAAUAUAUGUAUAUAUCACAGAAAAGACACACUCAUAAUUCAUGGCGUCGAGUUGAACCCGCCUCAAAGUAUCAAGAGUCCUUAGGAUGUGUUUCGCCUAGAAAUAGAACCUUUUAUAUAAAUACGUAACGUACUAAUGUAUAAACACAUUUUCGUACAAAGUACGGCUAAUAAACGAGUCGAACCCGCCACAUGAGCCGCCAUAAGUAGCUGUAUAGGCAACCAUGCGCCGAUCACCCUCACGUGUCCACGCGCGCCCACGCGCCUACAAGUACGAAGGUACUUGCCAUCUUUACGAAGCACAGGUUCGGCCUAGUUUUUGGGCCAACUUCUAGAGCUAAUAUCUAGCUCAAUUCACCACCAAAAUCAAUGAUUCAAAUGCCAUUUUAAAGUUAGGAAUGUAGGGAACAAAACGAUACCAAAGUUAGGUCGAGUUAUCGUCGGCGUUAGCUGGAAAGAUGAUAUGAAAGUGGCUUGGUCACGAGUUCUUGCUGAAAAUCUAGGGAAUUUCCUCCCUCCCUCAUGUCAGUUUUAAUAAAAUAUAUUUUUCUUAACGGGUAACAGGUCAGGUCAUAUUAUUUGACAAUAUUAACAAGUCGAUUUCGGGUUGGGUCAUUUUACCCAUUUACUUUAACGGGAAUUACAUGACACGAUCCGUUAAGCUAUCGAAUAUAACACGAAAAUGACACGAACACUAGAAACACGACACGAAUGUCAGGUCUAGUGAUAUAAGGUAAAAGUGAAUGGGGAUUGGGAGGUAAGAAUCUGGAUCCUUGCCAAAUCUUCUUUGUGAGGGUCCCGGGACCCGUGAAUCGUGUCCAUUCAUUGUACAUCAUGCGGUUAGAAAUCAUUUUAAAUAUUUUCAUUUAAAAUUAAACAUAAACAGACCUGACAAAAAAAUGAUCGCACGAUAUACGAUAAACGGACACGAUUGAUGGAUCCUUCAGAUUCUCACUAAAAGGAUUCGGAGAGGAUCCUGUUGGGAGAGGCAAAAGUGAAUGGGGGAUUGGGAAUUAUUAAUUACCCAUUGGGGGGUGUGUAAAGAAAAUUUGAUUGGGAUUAUUAAAAGAGAGGGUCACGUGCUUUUCUAAGAUGUCAUGUGUAUAGCCCAAGUCAUAUAAUAGGAAAACAAACUUCUUCGUUAUCUAUUUGCAAUUUCUAGGUGGCCUCAUUACCGGCUCAGAGUCCAUCAAUCAUUGUUGUAUCAGCUCAAAUCCAUCAUUCUUUGCUGCAACGGUGCAAGUUCAUCAUACUUUGCACAGGCUACAACAUUUGUAUCACUACUAGAAAAUGUGCUAUAGGGCACCGAUUUGAGGGCACCAUUCUCUAUCAGUGGCUUUGUAAAUGUAUGUGUCACUAUUGUUUGAAUUUGGUGCCUUAAACCUUUUUAACACCAUUCAUUGGUGUCAACUGUAAAAAUUUUGACACCAAAGUCAUAUUGUUUGGUUUUUUAACUUAGGAUUCAGUUUUGCUCUCCUAUUUUUUGUCAAAAAUAGUUUUAUAUUCAUUUAAUAGUUGUAAACUUUCCUAGUUUAAGUAUGAUUGUGUAAAUCCUAUAUUAGAUUUUAUUCUAGUUAUCCUUUCCUAUUACAACUUGUAUUACUUGGGGAAGAAGGAAUAUCUUCUCUCCUUUUACUACUAUAAAUAAAGGCACAAUGUAAGAGGGAUAAUAACACACAUUCCCCUAGAAUUCUAUAAACACAUCUCCUUCUAUUUCUCUUCUCAUUGUCGCCGGCCCUAUUCCCUUUAAAUAGGCUACAACACGUUAUCAGCACGCUCCUACCUCUGCGAUUAGGAAUUUGACGUUGAAGAAUAUUUUCUGCAUCAAACCAGUUCAUCCAUAUCAUCAUGCAAUCAGGUUCUUUCAAAACAACGGUUUUUAUCUCGAUAUUUUUGCAGCCUUGAUAGCAUGAACAUUCACCAUAAUCCAUGACCUAAUUUUAUGUUUUUAGAAUUUUAGAUUCUACAUAAAUUGUGUAUACAUUAUAUUCAUAAUUAUUGAAUUAUGUGAAUUUGAUAUUUGCCAUGAAUUGCAUCAAAUAUAUGUACAUGCCUUUUACUAUUGAAUCGAAUAUGCUUUGAAUUGAAUUAUAUAAAUUGAAAAAAAAAAUUGAUUAGGAAAGCUAGGGUUCUUUGAACCCGUGCCCUACAAUAUCUCAUCCAUGGCGAUGGGCCAGACCAUGCAAGCCCAGCCCAAUACUGAACACUAGUCGCAAGCCUUGAACUGAAACGAUGCGCUUGAGGCACCACCGUCCCGACCCACGGCCUAAAGCCCAGGUCUCCUAUGUCGGUUUUCCAACGAAACACAACUGGCAUUUGUGAAAAUUGGACAACACCCAUCGUUUUUCAUAACGAUUUCUCGAAAUUCUAGAAGAAUUUUGUUUUUUUUUUUUCGAAUUCAAUUGAAUUCAUUCGGUUUUCUCUCCCUCGAUGUUGAGAUUUCAUCUCCAUUGACAAAUACUUGGUUCUCCGAUGAACCAUGGCUUCCCUAGACUUGGAAAUAUCGUCUGACAUAGCGCCUUCAACUAAUUCCGGCAUUAUUCCCCGGCAAAGCACACCCAGCACGCGCUAGGCUGUGCUUUUGGUCCAACAACAUAGCCCUUUGGGCUUUGGUUCUUCACGAACCAAUCUAAAACCAAAACUUGGUUUUGGGUUUGUAUGCCAAAGCCCGCUACAAUCCCUUCUCUCAGCCUGAAGCGGGUUGUGUGCAAUUUUUUGGAGGGCUCACUUUUAGCUGCUCGACCCCUUUUUCCUCUCACCGUGGGCCUACAAUCCUACCCGAGACAAAACCCAGCCCACCCUAGGGCCUAGGAUGCAAGGCACCAUUUUUCUUAAGCCACCCGUGGGCUUAGUUUUUUUCUUUUGGGCCAUGAGUUUUAUUCUCCUAAUUAUUUUAGGCCUAAAUGGGUUUUAUAUUUUUCCAUCCAAGGGAAGAAACAAAGCCUAGAAGUGCCCAAACCUUGCUCCCAAGGCCCCAAACUUCAAGAAUAAGGGUAAAGCAGCUGAAACCAUAGAUGCAGACAUGUGCUAUCGAUGUGGUUCAAAUGACCAUUGGUCCCGUGUUUGCUGAGCUCCCAAGAAGGUUGUAGAUGAAUAUCAUUCUCGUCGCAAGAAGUUUGAAUCAAAUUUCGUGUAAGUGGAAAAACCGGAGACUACAAAGAUGGAGGUUUCUAACUUUCAAGACCAUACCACCACUAUGGAAGAUUAGAAUCUUAGACAUAGACUUAUUUUUCAGUUGAAUUAAGACAAUGGGGCCGAAUUCCACCUGUUGGGGAACCCAUUCUUUGUUUUUGGUUACUUUUUGAACAAUUUUCCUUUUAUAUUUGGAUUAUUUGUUGGUGAUUUGUUUUUGGAUAUUAAGUUUUAAUUAAUUACCAUCCUUGAAUAAAUGAAAUAAUUUUGAAUUGAUAUUGUUUUUAGAACUUUUAUGCAUGUGACCAGUUCAAAUUAAUUUUUCAUUCUAGGUAUGACUAGUGGGGAAGUUAGUUGUUUGGUAAAUAGUGCAACCACGCACACAGUUUUACGUGAACUCAUCUAUUUCACUAACUUCAUACCUAAGAAUGCACCUCUGACAACCCUCUCAGGCCCAUUCAACCUGAUUGAAGGAUACGAUAAGACACAUAUAAUGUUGUCCAAUGGUACAAUCUUGACCAUUUCCGAGGCACUCUAUUCUCCACUUUCUGAAAGAACGUUGUUGAGUUUCAAGGACAUUAAAGAUAACAAAUACCACGUUGAAACCCACGUAGAAAAUAGAGUUGAAUUUUUAUGCAUAACUUCCUACGAAUGCAGCCAGAAGCGUAUUCUAGAGAAGAUAGAGCAUAUUCUAGAGAAGAUAGAGCGUAUCCUAAGUGGUUUGUAUACUACGACCAUACACCCCAUCGAAUGCCACUAUGUGGUUGGCCCUACUACUGGGACUGCGCAUGAAAUUACACUUUGGCAUGGUCUUUUGGGACAUGACGAAUAGCGAUGCGCCGUAUCCUCAAAUCUUCACACGGACAUCCACUAACCCGAAGUUUAGGUUCGAUCCAAGGAAUCACAUGUCAAACAUGUUCAAUGGAAAAGCUUAUUACUAAGCCUUCUUAUGACAAGAUUUGUUCGAAUCCUCCCAUUUUUCUACAACAAUGUAUUCAGGGGGACAUUUAUGGACCACAAUUCACCCUCCCUGCGGACUAUUUAGAUACUUUAUGGUUUUGGUUGAUGCUUCUACAUGUGGGUCACUCGUGUGCUUGUUGUCCACAAGGAACGCUGCAUUCUCCAAACUGUUGGCUCAGGUUAUUAAGCUCAGUGUUCACCACCUUGAUUACCCAAUCAAAUCUAUUCGAUUGGAUAAUGCUGGAGAAUUCACAUGUAAAACUUUUAAUAACUAUUGCAUGACAGUUAGGGUUGAAGUUGAACAUCAUGUACCCCAUGUUCACACCCAUAACAGCCUGGCAGAGGCUUUCAUUAAGCGCUUACAAAUGAUUGCUCGAUCGUUGGUCAUACGUACCAAGCUUUUGAUCGUUACUUGGGGCCAUGCAAUAUUGCACGCAGCGAAGUUAGUCCGUCUGAGGCCUGUUGCAACACAACCAUUUAGUGCCCUUCAAUCCGUUACCAAAUACGAACAUAACAUAUCGCAUCUGCACAUAUUUGGUUGUGCGGUAUAUGUGCCCAUCUUGCCGCCCUUACAUACAAAAAUGGGGCCUCAGUGAAGGAUGAGAAUCUAUGUCGGAUAUGAUUCUCUUUCGAUUAUUCGUUACUUAGAACCUUUGACAUGAGAUCUGUUUACCUCUCAUUUCACGAAUUGUCACUUUUAUGACACAGUUUUCCCAACGUUAGGGGGAGAUAAAAAUGUUCCUGAAGAACAACACGAAUUAUCAUGCACGACUCCCACUUUGUGUCAUUUAGAUCCCCGCACCGCUCAAUAUGAAAUUGAAGUGCAACGCAUAUUAGAUCUCCAGAGCAUAUCUUAGAGCAUGUCAGAUGCUUUCGCCUAUCUAACGCUCAUGACAAGAUCACAUAUUCCAGCUGCGAAUACUCCUGCAAAGAUGGAUGUACCAAAUGUACGAGGGACUUCCUUCCUGGAGACCUGGGACGCCAAUAUUGGUGAUCCACGUACAUUAGUGACUAGCCAAUCAUCUACCCUUACACAAAAGUGUGGCAGGCCCCUUGGUUCAAAGGAUUCACACAUUUUCAAGAGGAAACCCACGACACAAGGUCUCGAAGAGCCUACCAUGAAUCUGACUAUCGCUUACUCUUUCUAUCUAACUCAUGACGAAAUUCUAGUUUAUGAAGGCGUCCUUGAAAAAACGAAUCCUCCUCUCGAGAAUAGUGAGAUUUCGGUCUAUUAUGCUAGCUUAGAUGAUGCGUGGUGUAGAAAUGAGAUGAUUGUUGACGAUGCAUUAGCAUUUGUAGUAGCUACUGUGAUCAUGUUAAGCGAUGACAUUGAACCGCGUUCCGUUGAUGAAUGUCGAUGUAAAACUGAUUGGUCAAACUGGAAACAAGUAAUCCAAGUUGAACUUGAUUCGCUUGUGAAACGUAAAGUGUUUGGACCUGUAGCUCAUACUCUUCCACAUGUGAAGCCCGUUGGGUACAAAUGGGUUUUAGUUUGGAAGGGUAAUGAGAAGAAGGAAAUUGUGCGUUAUAAAGCUCGUCUUGUUGCACAAGGCUUCUCACAACGCCUCGGGAUUGACUAUGACAAAACUUAUUCACCUGUUAUGGAUGUGAUUACUUUUCGCUACCUUAUCAGUUUGGUAGUUUUUGAAAAACUGGAUAUGUAGCUGAUGGACGUUGUAAGCGCGUAUCUCUAUGGGGAUCUUGAUAUGAAAAUCUAUAUGAAAGUUCCCAAAGGACUUACAUUGACUGGUUCAAAUAUUUCCAAACCCGGAACACGCUCUCAAUUCGGCUGAGACAUUCAUUCUACGGUUUGAAGCAAUCUGGAAGAAUGUGGUAUGCAGAGGAGGAGAUGAGAGAAUGCAGAGAGAGUCUGUCUGAGUGUGUGAGAGAGAAAACACAGAGUCAUUUGAGAGAUAAGAGAGAGUGUGAGGUCUUUUAGCCAACGGUUGAGAUUUAAUGUCAACCGAAUCCAACGCUAAUCUCAAUCGAAUCCAACACUUAUGGUUUAUUCAAGUAUAUAUAAUAUAUACUUUUAGGGUUUGAUAACUUUGUAUUUUAUAUAGAUGUGAAAAUAUAUAUGUAAUAAUACUAUUAAUGUUGUAGCCUAUUUUAUCUGUCAAAAGGAAUAGGGCCGGCAUGAAGGAGAAGAGAAAUAGAAAGAGAUGUGUUUGUAGAAUUGUAGGAGAAUGUGUGUUGUUAUCCCUCCUACAUUGUGCCUUUAUUUAUAGUAGUAAAAAGAGAGAAGAUAUUCCUUCUUCCCUAAGUAAUACAAAUUGUAAUAGGAAAGGAUAACUAGAAUCAAAUCUAUCUAGGAUUUACAUAAUCACACUUAAACUAGGAAAUUUUACAACACUCCCCCUUGAGUGUGUAAAUACUCAAGGUAGAUUCAGCGUCAUGCAGAAGUUGACGAAGUCGACUCGUCAGCACUGAUUUUAAGGAACACCGCUUAUUCUCAAUAAGGUAGGAACUUGCAUAAGUAAAUGAGUCUCACUAAAAACCCUAAAGCUAUGGUAAAAACCCGAGGAGGGACAAAAUCCAUAGUCUAAGGAAAAAUGUGUGAGAAAUGCAAAGUCAAAAGAAAUGUCUACGAGACAUCAUCAGGGAUAUGACCAGCCCAAGGUGGGUGCCUCGUUAAAACCUAGUUAGGUAGCAAAAACCCAGUGGGAAAAUGCUCCUAAUCGUAGGGAAAAAGAGUACAUUAAGAUCAAGCAAGUAUCUUCAGGAUACUCUCUUUGAGUUUAACACAGUUCCAAAGAGAAAUAGCAAUGUUACAACUCAGAAAGUUUACACAUGCCAAUUCCAUGAACAAACAAGAUUCUGAAACGUCGUCGUCUUCAGCAGCAGUGAUUUGGUGAAGAGGUUGGCCAGAUUGUCUUGUGAACGGAUUUGCGUGACUUCAAUCUUCUGAUGCUCUUGUUGUUGAUGUGAAAAGAAGAACUUCAGCACAAUGUGCUUGGUGUUGUCUCUUUUGAUGUAACCCUUCUUGAGUUGUUCGAUGCAUGUUGCGUUGUCUUAAAAAAUCAUCGUCGGGACAUCAACGGUGGGAUAAAGAUACAAGAGCUUUUCAACCAAAAGCAUUCCCGAGUUACUUCAUGUAAGGUAAGAAUUUCAGCAUGGUUAAACGAUGUGGCAACUAAGGUUUGUUUAGUUGACCUCCAAGAUAUUGCGCGGUGCCUCCAAAGGUAAAGACAUAAGAUGUUUGAGAAUGUGACUGGUGCGGAUCAGAUAAGUAUCCUGCAUCGGCAUAACCAACAAGGCGAGAAUUGACUCGAGAAGCCAAGGGUGCGGCAUCACUCGAGGAUCUGUAAGGAUAGAACAAGCCCAAAUUCGUAGUACCCAUAAGGUAGUGGAAGAUGUCUUUCACGCCAGUUCAGUGUCUACGUGUUGGUGCAUUACUGUAUCUUGCCAAAAGAUUAACAGCAAAGGAGAUGUCGGGUCUAGUGCAUUAAGCUAAGUACAAUAAAGCACAUAUUGCACAUAUAGAUAAGGAACUUCAGGCUCCAACAUCUCUUCAUCAUCCUCCUUCAGACAUAAAGGAUCUUGUUUUGCAUCUAGCGAACGAAUGACCAUAGGAGUACUCGAAGGCUUCGCUUUAUCCUUAUUAAAGCGGCGUAACACCUUUUAAGUGUAGUUCGAUCGAUGUACUAUGAUUCCAUCAGAACAAUGCUCUAUCUUGAGACCAAGACAAUAUCGAGUCUUACCUAGAUCAUUCAUCUCAAAUUCCGACUUCAGGUGCGCAGAAAUUCUCGCGAGCUCUUCAGGAGUUUCGAUAAGAUUCAUGUCAUCGACAUAUACUGCAACAAUCGUAAAUCCGGAAUGUGACUUCUUAAUGAACACACAAGGGCAUAAUUCGUUGUUCACAUAUCCCUGACUAGUCAAAUACUCACUUAGAGAUUCAGGGUAGAUAAAAUGGUGAAAGAGAUUGAUCGAAGUGAACAACAAAUUCUAGGAGGAGUUUUGGUUAAAAAUUUAAAGGAACAGAUUGAGGCUCGAAACAAUGAAAAGAUUCGAAGAACGAUACAGAUAUAUAGAGAAACUGCCCUAGGACCCAAUACAAAGAAAGCAAUCAAAAUACAAAAAACAAGGAUGGGUUUGCGUGUCUAUGGUAAGGGUGCAAACUUAAACAAAUUGGUGGUCCACACUAUCCAUUCACCUGAAAAUCGUAGUAAUUCAUCGAAAGAACAAGUUCCAUUGAAUGAAGAUGUUUAGCAUUUUGUUUGGGGGGGGGGGGGGGUUUGGUGGGAUCUACAAGUUUGGUUGCUGCAAUAAGUUUGGAAUUUUGUUGCUCUUCCUGGCCUCCACCGUAACAUCCUUCCGGGUUUUCAAUGUAUAGAGAUGAGACGGGUGUUACAUAAGAUAAACGCCGUGUAAACCUUUUUUGUUCGGUCAUAACAUCAAUAAUGUAAACAAUUAACCCUUUUACAUUUUCAAGGAUAAAGUGUUGGCGUGCUGGGAUUAUGUUUCUCUACUUAUAUAUUUUUUGCAUUUCUCUUUUUAUUGAUAGGAUCCUUUGACUCAUGCUUCUUUGCUGGUUAUGCACUUUUAAAACAGUUGUUGCAUUAAUGUUUUGAUAUUAUUUGUGAGUGGGCCGUUCUCAAAAAGAAAUUGUUUCUUUCCUUAUGUUGUCUCAUGGUGAAAUUGAGAGGAUUUGUUUAUAAAUUGUAACUUUAGUUGGUUUUUAUGAACAUUCUAUUCUCAUUUUUAACUUUGAAAAUUUUACUUGGUUCCUCAACAAUUUUUUAAUUGGUUCCUCCAAAAAAUAUAUUUGUGUGGAUGUUUAUGCUGUGUUAGUUCCUUCUUUGUAGCCAUAUCUGAAUUCUUAAAAACUAUGGUAAUUAAUGUGGUUUUUCAGGUGGUUUUUUAAAUGGGGAAAACGGAGUGAGUGACGAAUUUAUAUUGUUAUUCUCGGUUGGUAUGUAACCAUUUGAAUAUGGAAGGCAUGGUAUCAUGCAAACAAUGUAACAAUUGUAAUAGAAGGGUCCCUGCGGUGUGCAAAGGGUGGGUUUAGAGAUGGUGAAGUUUGCCUAGGUCGCAAGAUUAAUGCUCAUGGUUUCAUAGUUGUGUUGUGUUGAUGGCCGUGAAAACUGCCGACAUUGGUCGCCUCACUGUUCCUCUACAAUUAUUUAAGUGUUUGGAUCUUUAAUGACUUCUAAACUUAAUGGUUUUUAAUUAUUUCAAAGUGAUUCAUAAAGUUGGAUAUGAUUUUAUUAGAGGGUGUCAAUUUAAAGUAUGGAUUAGGGGUUGACAUUUUUAGGGUCUUCAACUGUGGAUAAAAAGUUGUUCAUCACGUUAGAGAGGAAUUUCAAGUUGAAUUAUCACCAUGACAAAAUGUUUCGUAAACUUACUUACCUUAGAGUCACGUCAAUCCAUUUUUUCCACCAUCGCAGAUUUUUCAUGAUUCUUUUCAAUUUUUUUUUCUUAUAAAUAAAAUUGUUCCAGUCAACUUAUCGAUGCAUUGACUUGUUUAAGUGGUGGAGCUUAAGCUCAAAACAUGCGGGAGUAUUUCUAUCAUUAAUAAUUUGUAUCAAACUCAAAGUUUAAUAAGAGUCCAACCUGCAAACUUUGUGAAACGGAACGAUAGAAUCACAUCAAUGCAAGCUUUAAUCUUCGAACUCUCAACUGAUGCAUAUCCUUUAUGAUGAAUCACAAAUGUUUUCUAGGUAUGUUAUUGAUUAAGUACGUGAGGUGCAACUCCGUCUUGGAUUGUUAAAAUAUAUUGAUUGUUCGAAAUUAAGGGCUUACACUCUUAAAUAUACACUUUUCAUCUUGCACAAUCUACUGGUCUAAAGUGAAUCAAACCUAAAUAAUUUGUUUGUUUCUAUCAGAUUUAUAAAUGCAUGUCUUCCAAUAUUAAUGCCGUUGAGCCAUGCAUUAGUUUUUUAUAGUUGGAUGUUCGUUCUGUUUUUGGCUUCUCUCUAAUUAUAUAUCUGUUUAUAUUUUGUCUUCUUAUUUCUCUAGGUUCUGUUUUGAUCUUUGGAGUCCUGCAUUGUUCUUUUGUCGCAUUAAUACGCAGCUACGCUUUCGUCUCUACAACGGUUAGAUUUCUGUCCAUAUAAAGAACCCUCACCUUUUUCCUUUUUUUUUUUUACAUCUAAUCGUUAUAUUAACUUGCUGACUCCUUUAUUAUAUUACGAUUAUGGCAAAUAAAGAUCGUCUCCUCAUGUACAUGCUAUAAUGUGUUACAGUAGUCUGCACCUAUACUGUUUUUUCACACCUUUAAAGAAGAAACUAAAGAGUUUCCAGAACAACCAUAAUGAUAAUACAUAAAUGAUCCUUCAUGUAUGCAAAUGAUACUCCUAUGGUGUACAUCCGUAGUAAUUCAUAUUUACACGUGUUUAAUAGUUUGAAAUUAAAUUUCCAGUCCACAACUUUAGAACAUCAUAUUAAUUGUUAAAGUAUGCCUUCCAAAGUUUGGGAACCAUCAUUUCCAUCUGUUCUUCUAUUUUAUAGAACUGGGGGCUUAACCAGUUUAUUAUAUUGUUCCAUAAUUCAUUAACUCAAACUUGGAAACAUACACUGUUUUUCCUGCACAAUAUGUUGAUGCAAAGUAAAUUAUUUCUAAAUAAUUUGUGUCUUUCUGUCGAUUUUAUACAUGCAUACCCUACAUUACUGUGAUUCUAGUACAUUUGUUAGAUUGCUCACAAGAUUGAUAUUGGUAGUAAUGUUUAACUAACAACCAAAUAUCCUCAUCUUACCUAGGUUCAAAAUAGAUCUUAUUGUGGAAGAUAGCACGAAUCACACAACUUCCUCAUGAUAGGAAGGUAUGCUAAAAAAAUACUUGGUGUUUCUUGCCACACUCUGGUGAUAGAAGAUGGAUAUAACGAUCCUUUCGUAGUUCCGCCAACUCUGAAUAAUUUGAUCGGCGAGACAAAACAAUUCUAGCUCUCUUUCGGAAAUCAAAACACUGACUUCAUCGUUCAUGGACUACUCCAAAACCAACCGCUCUCAAGCCCAACAAUUGCCUUAGUCACACCACAAAAACCUGCUACCACCGCAGGAAAACAAAUUAUGACUGAAGCAACCCCAACCCAUUGACACUUUCCCAGCGACUAUAUCAACAACCCCAUUCAGUUACACCCACAAAUACUUCAAAGAGAGCGUUGUUUCCUGAUCAAGCAAACAAAUCUGACAAGUAAAGUUUUCCGCUUGCUUAAUGAUCUCAUGUGUAAAUCUUACAAACUAUGCUUCUCUUGGGUAUACAAGAAUGUAUUGCUACUCAUUAAAAACCUUCACACCACUAUUUCGCACUCUUUUGUCACUCUUACAUUCCUCUCUAACCUUAUAAAUUUAUACCUUGAUUCACAACAAAAAGCCUCGCAACGACCAAAUAGAGACGACCAAUUCUGCUAGAAUCGCUAGAGAAUUUCACAAUCUGGUUGUCCCCAAAAUUGAAAUAGCAGACAAAGUGCCGAUAGCCACACUCAGAACAAAAUCUCAAACCAAAAAAAACCAAAGAAAGGUAAAUUACUAUAUGUUUUUCACGCAUACACCUACAUAACAAACAUCAUACUAGCAAUUUUUAAACUAUUAUUUAUAUUCUUUGCUAUAGUGCGGAAGAUGUCCUCUCUCACAAAAAGUUAACGCCACAAUCUCCGUGAUCGAUUGCUGCAGGGCGUAGUUCAUGUUUUUAGCUUCCAACAUUUUUGCUUCAAGACUUAGCUGUUUGAACAAGAACGAAACACUAGGUUUUUUUUUUUUUUUUUUUGUUCACUGCUGAAACAAAUAACUCACCUGCAAGUCAUAUAUUUUGCCAUCUUAACUGCAAGGGAAAAUAUGUAUCGACUGCAUGUUACAUAUGUUUAUUACGGAAACUGGUGUCCUGUAUGUUUUUAGCUUUGCACGUUUGUCGUUGAAAACUUAGAUGCUAAACUAAGAACAAAACAGUUUUUAUGUUUUUUGUCAAUUGUUCAAACAUGUGCCUAACCUACAAGAUAUAUAUUUUCUCACCUUGACUACAGGGGAAAGAUUUGUGUUAACUACAUGUUACUUCUUUUUAUUAGGAAACCAAAACUUUUUUUUUUUUCAUCCUAUUCAUCGUACACUGUCUUUCUAAACCAGCUCAGUUGCAUGUAUAUAAAAAUAAAGCUACAUAUCUUACCAACCCAUUUACUCAUCUAUCCCUCACUUCAUUCAUAAUUGUAUUGAAUUAUUCAGGUAAAAUGUAUCAUAUUUAUGGAGUUCAAUGUGAUGCAUUCAAGUCCCGCAACAACGUGCGGGCACAUUUUCUAGUAAUUUCUACAUUAUAUGGAUGAACAUAUGAAAAUAUUCGGAAUAGUAUGUUCAUGGAUAGCUAGAGCAUCCGCAUCAAAAUUUGAUUCUCGGUAAAUAUGUUGAACUCCUUGAACAUUGAAUUCUCUGAGAAGGGAUCAAACAUGUAUCAUUAUAGAAAAAAUUCUCCACAGAUUGAUGCGAGCCUUUAAUCAUACAAUAAAAAGUCUAGAAUAUCUUUCAGCAAAAAUAUUAUUUAAUCGAAGCCGUUUAGUGCACAUAAGACCAAACUUUAAUCACAUAGGCUCAGGUUUAAGAACUGAAGAAAAACCUAUAGGAAUAGCUCCUGCAAUUUUAACAACACUGUUGGAAACAUGGAUAACAAAUCCGGCAGCUGUGAGACUAGAAUGUUUAACAGAUCCAUCAAAAUUCAAGUUCCAACACCCAUCUAUUGAUUCCCAAUUGAUGUUAAGUUUAGCAAUGUUUUUUUACCUGAGUUUGGCAAAUUAGCUUUGUCAACUAGGGGAAGGGAUAAAUAGAUAUUCAGCUUACAAUAAAAGGAAAACUAAUGAAAAAGGCUUGAAAACUUUGAGUUUUAAUAAUAAGGACAAAAUAAAGAGUAAAGUGAAUAGUACCAGGAUUGACUUUUUAGUGUAAAAAUGUGGUUUUUCGUUAAAGUGAACAGUACCGGGUGCUUUUCGUUAAAGUUCCAAAAGCUUUAAGUCAGAUGUUUAGGACACUGCAUAUGUAAAUUAUAAUAACGAGUCUCAAUUUAUUUACACUUUGAAUACGCAAGCCCCAAAAACCUAUAAGUGUUUGGAAAACAAAAACAAAGCUUGAUAUGUGUAAUAUAGAUUCCAGCAAUAUGAGAUUUGUGUGGUUCAGAUAUCAUCUGGAUCCUUUAUGUUGCUAGGAGUACGUCUAGGACUUGGUUGAUCUAGUUCUUGAACAAUCUUAGUGAGAUCGCUUUAAUAGUUACCAACAUGAGCUCCAUUCUGCUUCAUGGUGACUGACCGUUUAUGAAGAUCAUAAUCUUUUUUAUUUAUUUAAUUCAAAUUGCACCAUUACAUUCCGCUCAUAAUGCGACAUAAAACAAAAAAAUAAAAAAAAAAAAAAAAAAGAACACAGUUGAUUCUUCAGAAAAGAAAGGGGAAAAAAACCCCCGAAAAAUGAGACAGCUUGAAUGCAAACUCAAUUUCCAUUCGAUCUCCCAAGGAGCAUCAGUUCAACCAUGCAUCAAUGCAAAAUCUACAAGGUAGACUUCAAUGUGUUUCCAAUAUCAAUGACAAAUCGAUAUCUGACAUCUGCUUUAAGAAGGCGCUCCAUGGCAAUGUUCACAUAAUCCAUUGGGAUAACCUCAAUAUCAGCUGUUAUGUUAUUCUUUGGCUGCAAAAUCAAUCAUCGCUUGCGUCUCCUUCAUGCCCCCAAUGCCACUCCCAGCUACUAUCUUCCUUCCUGCAAUUGCAAAAUGUACUCUUGUAAAGAAGUAGCCGCCGAAGACAUUAUACAGUUUAAAAAGUAAACACUUCAUACUACAAAUCCUCCAUCCCUCGGUAGAAAUAUAUCGUCGUACAGAGGAAACAAAAAGUAACAUGUCGUCGUACCCAGUGCACAAGGCUCCCGCUUUACGCAGGGUCUGGGAGAGGUGAAUGUCGGCUAGCCUUACCCCCAUUUAUGGAGAGGCUGCUCCCAAAAAGUAACAUGUCAUUGCAUUAUUUUAUAUGCAUGCUUACCCGAGAGCAACGGAAUAACUGGAAGCUCAAGAGGCUUCUCUGGUGCUCCAACCAUCACUAGCUUUCCGUGAGACUUCAACA